Long non-coding RNA from Paramacrobiotus metropolitanus, 933 nucleotides. RefSeq lists it as uncharacterized. The transcript is spliced from 2 exons. NCBI's taxonomy places the organism in Eukaryota, Metazoa, Tardigrada, Eutardigrada, Parachela, Macrobiotidae. The record is from RefSeq and is a predicted model, not a curated record.
CUGCAUGGCUGCGCAAACAUUAGCUCGGGUUUGCUGCUUCCCAUCUACCUAUUCUGCCUACGAUUGUUUGCAAAUGUGCCGGAACUUCAAGUAUUUUAUACGUAUGUACACGACUCAUUUUGUCAAAGUCGUAAUAAACAUUACACUUUAUAGCAGAUGAAUGCCAGCCGUCUUGACUGCAGCAAAAUUGUUCAAGUCGACGAUUAAUCUUCGUGUUGGUUUGUUGCAGUAGGGAGAAAGGCGCGUCGUGGAAUCAAGAAGCAGUUAAAGAAAGAUGGAUUGGACAAAAUGUAUUCCGUUCUGUGCGACCGUACUGACUAUGCAGUUAUUGUUGAUCAUCAGCAGCACAGCGUCGGCUCCUUUGGUUGUUAGCGCCAAGCACUCCUCCGGGUCCUCACCAACUGACGCUGGCGCUAUGGGUAGCUUGAUCAUGGAGGACUGCUUUAAGCCGUUCUGGGACUGCAUCGCGCGUGGCACUUUGAUGAAUCAAAGUAGCAUGUCCAGUAACACCACAAGCAUGAUAAACGAAGUUGUGGAAAAAUUCAAGAGCUCCGUGGCUUGCUCCACUCCGUAUCUGGAGUGCAUGACGCGUGUAGUCAAUCCCGAUGACAACGCACCUUCUGGAAAUGGUGGCCGCACCACCGCCGGCACUAUGACGGAGGGGCAUUCAGAGAACUGACCCCAAUCGAACAGUUUCAAAAUCCACAGGCUUUGGUUAUAUUUAGGUUUAUUCUGUAGCUUCCGAAAUUACCCGUAAAAGUUUGGCUUUUCUGUAUUUGUAGCUAAUUAAUCGGGUGUUCUUAUGAAAAGCUCGAUUAAAUUAUUAACCAAGGAUAUGAAAAGCGCUGGUGAUGUAACUGUUUUAAGCAGCUCAUGGCUGCCAUAUAUGGUAAUGAUCACAAUAAUUAAAUGUCGCGGCAGCGUGUAAAACAA